Molecule: unclassified non-coding RNA, 404 nt
Filed under: soil metagenome
Description: partial contains 5.8S ribosomal RNA, internal transcribed spacer 2, and large subunit ribosomal RNA
Rfam family: 5.8S ribosomal RNA (bases 1-122)
Source: RNAcentral
GAUGAAGAACGUAGCAAAAUGCGAUACUUGGUGUGAAUUGCAGAAUCCCGUGAACCAUCGAGUUUUUGAACGCAAGUUGCGCCCGAAGCCUUUUGGCCGAGGGCACGUCUGCCUGGGCGUCACGCAUCGCGUCGCCCCCCACAAUUCUCCGUAAAAGGAACAUGUGUUUUGGGGGCGGAUAUUGGUCUCCCGUGCUCAUGGCGUGGUUGGUCGAAAUAGGAGUCCUUUCGAUGGACGCACGAACUAGUGGUGGUCGUAAAAACCCUCGUCUUUUGUUUCGUGCUGUUGCUCGCAAGGUAAACUCUUUAAAAACCCCAAUGUGUCGUCUCUUGACGACGCUUCGACCGCGACCCCAGGUCAGGCGGGACUACCCGCUGAGUUUAAGCAUAUCAAUAAGCGGAGGA